RNAcentral lists this ribosomal RNA (283 nucleotides) under uncultured bacterium. Its description in RNAcentral is "partial 16S ribosomal RNA". It matches the Rfam family "Bacterial small subunit ribosomal RNA", at positions 123 to 406 of the family's 1533-position model. The record is from RNAcentral.
AACGUGCCCAAUAGUGGGGGAUAGCCCGGCGAAAGCCGGAUUAAUACCGCAUGAGACCUGAGGGUGAAAGCGGGGGAUUCGCAAGGACCUCGCGCUAAUGGAGCGGCCGAUAUCAGAUUAGGUUGUUGGUGAGGUAAAAGCUCACCAAGCCUGCGAUCUGUAGCUGGUCUGAGAGGACGACCAGCCACACUGGAACUGAGACACGGUCCAGACUCCUACGGGAGGCAGCAGUGGGGAAUUUUGGACAAUGGACGCAAGUCUGAUCCAGCAAUGCCGCGUGCAG